Molecule: unclassified non-coding RNA, 3163 nt
Filed under: Apis florea (little honeybee)
Lineage: Eukaryota; Metazoa; Arthropoda; Insecta; Hymenoptera; Apidae
Description: uncharacterized LOC100865189, transcript variant X1
Source: RNAcentral
UGAUUAAAUAAGUAAAUAGAAUACAAAAUAAGUAAAUAGAAUAAUUUUAGAAUCUAAUUUAAAUAUUUCAUAUUUUUGCUGUUAAAAAGAAAACAUAUGAUAAUAGUUCACAUUGGAAGGAUUAACUAACAUCACCCUAACGUUCUUUUUCGAAAAUAACGCUCGAACCACGUGGUUUCAUAGAGAAAACAUAGUUUAAACCUAGGGAUGAUGGAACGACGACGAAGAAGAGUAUUCUCUUCAUUAACACAUACUUCAUCAGUGACUGUUAAUGAAUCACGUGUUCAUAUAUCAGCUUUGAAUGACUCUCGCCCUGUGUUUUUCCUAGCCUGUUAAUUUAUAUCUCGAGAAAACUCCUCGCGGAGGCCAUUUUCGGUGUCCAAAUAAAAAGGAGCCAUGAUUCUGAAAGACUAACCCCUUUGACUUGCAUAGUAAGUUAUCCUACUUUGGUCAAGGGAAACUAUUUUUUAUGUAAUGCUUUUAGAAUCCAUGUUAUUUCUUUUUUUUUUUUUUUUCCACAACUAAAAGCGGCUUCUUUGAUGGAAUUGAUUCUAAUUUUCUUUUUUAAUCUUUAAAUUAGGAUCGUAACCAUUCUAGGAAUGGAGUUUCCAUUUUGGAUGUUGCAUAAAACACCAUAACAUCGAAUCAACGAGAGAGGGAAGAUAACCACCCUUUCCGUUUCAAUGGGGAAACCGACAUCAGAGUUGCCCUUCUCCGCUUUCUUUUCAUUAAACCGACGACACGCAGUCGCUGAGGGGCGGCGCUUUCGAAUGGCAGCAUCAAGGCGCAGACGCCUUCGGUUUCACACCGUGCUUCCGGUUUCAACUAGAUCAAUCAUUUUCCCUAUCAGAAAUCUUUCCACUGUUCUGAAAUAAACGGCAGACCGCGAUGGAGCUUCCAUUUGCUUUUGCAAAUGUGUUUACACGGCACUAUAUACUUCACCGGAAUAAUUUCUGGUGUCUUUUUGCUCUGUACGAAAACGAACGAGUUUUCCUUGGCGCCUGUACUGCACCGGUAUUGUGAGAUCCGUGAUUCCGUGGUAUCGCCUGAGUAAAUUCCAUCCAUUGGUGGGGGCGGCGGCCCUUACAAUUUACUGUUUCCACGUUCCGAUCUAUUUUAAUUAUUCCUUCGCGGUUUGCCAUGAAAAAUUCCAUAAAUCUUCGUCCCCAAGAUAAUUAGCAGGGAUACUUUCGACUAGUGGGUAUAAAUCCUGUAAUUCUUUCCAGGAACCCCGGAACAUUGACAACAGACGAGAUGCACUGGAACUCCAGUGUUUCUCAAGCUUUAAAAUUUUAUGGAAAAAUUGAUUCAUAAUCUUCUUGUAAUUUUUUCAAUAAUGACAAUUUAAUAAUUUAUGAAAAUAAGGAAAAAUUUGAAUUAACAUGCUAUUUCAAUUUCAUUGGCUUAUAGUUAAUUAUUAUUUGAUUGUUUUUUUAAUAGCAAUUAUAGAAUGUGAGCGUCUAAUAUUCUUGCUUGAGAAUUCUCGUUAAAAUUUUUUAAAACUAAUCGUUUUAAAAAAUUUAGAAAUAUGAUAAAUUAGAUGAUUAGCUUUUUAUAUAAAAAAAAAAAAAUCAAUUAUUGAAUGAAAUCAUUGAGAAACGCUGUAUCAUGGUGUAUCACUUGAAAAAUGAAGGAACAGCGCGUAAAUUGUUAUUAUAGAGGUUUGAACGCUUGUAGCGGUUCUUAAUUCGUGAAGACAUUUAUUUGGUACACUUUGGUGCAAUAUAAUUCGACGCGUUUCUGCUAUUUUUACUGUUUUGUGAUUCAUUUACCCUACUAUUAAAAAGAAUUAUUGCCUUUGAGAUUCGAAACAUGUUACCACACCAACACCGUUCUCUAAUUUCUUCUUAACGAUUAAUUAUAUUUUAUUUUCAGAAGAAUAGGUAUUUCAAUGCUAGAGUUUUUUCAAUGCUAUAACGAAUCCGUACGUUUCUUCAUCUCUCAUACAGGGAAAAGGAGGUAGCUGACUGAAGAUAAUAAUCACUUUCCGUUCGUCGUAAAUCUCUCCUUAUGAACGAUGGCGAUAGGGUUUGCUCGCACGAAAAUAGAGUUUUUUUCCUGGCCCUCGUAAAAUAUUUAUAUGCGCAAAUAGUGGAGAGUCGAGUCGAAAAUAGGGUUAGUCUGUGAUUCGAUGAAAAGAAGACAUCGAUAAGAUGUUGAUGUCAGAGCGUCUGGGGAAUCGAAGAGGUGAAUCCUCCGGUUUUGAUAGAGAAGUGGACCCAUUACGCUAUCUCUCGAGAAGGUUGUUACUUUUGUUGGACAGCUGUUUCCUUUAAAAAAAAUUGGUUUUAUCGAAACGAGCUCGAAUUAAUCAAAGUGGACAAAGAAGUUUUCUGAUUUUCUUUUUUUUUUUUUUUAAGAAUCAUUAUUUAAUUGAGAAACUCAUUGUGUAACAAAAAUUUGGAUACUUCCUGAGUUCUUUUUUUAAUAAUAGAUUUUUUAAUGACUAUAUUGAGAAAUAGAUUUCAAUUAUAUAUAUAACGAAUAUAGUCGGUCAGAUCUUUGACAGAAAGCCGUUUCUGUAGUCCCGCCCUCGAAACAGGAAAUUAGUUGCCGACAGGCGGUUCGAAUUAUACAUUUCUCGGGAGAACCGGUAAGAAAGUAUCGUGAUCAAAAGAUUCUAUUAAUUUUUGUCUCGGUAUACUUCCAUUUCACUUUGCCUAUAUUCUAACCCACAGUAAAGUUCUUUUUAUGCAAGCUUUCUAAGAGGGGAGAAGUUGUCGACGUGUCCCCUCGACAGCUGCCACCACUGUAAGAUCCGGUUCACACGACUCUCCUCGCUUAUUCUCUUUUUCUUUCUUCUUUUUACAUUUUUAUAGGGGCUUUCUGAAAAUUAUAUUUUACUGAAGUAUCAAAGAAAGAAUAAAAUUUGGGAAAAUUUGAUGGGAAGAUUUAUGAAAAGAAGUGUGAAGCAGUCAUCACAUACGAAGACUUUUUUGCAGAAGAGCACUUAUCAAGGACGUUCAAUUUGCAAUACAUUCACAUGGGGACAGUGUUAGUAGAAGUCAGUAAACAGGAAAACACUGAAGUUUGAAGAUCCUUGCAUAUAUGUCAUGCAGAAAUUUCGGUCUCAAAUACUUAAUUGGUCAUCCUGCAUGAAUUGUGGACCACGUGGUAGCAAAUGUUUGUACACGCUCAAAGAACCAAAUCCAAAUGAAAGUAA